AUGUUUGAUGUAGUUUUGUAUAAACUUUUUCCAAACUUCCUCUAUAGAUCUAGGACUUUUGGUGUCUUUUUAUGGAAAACUAAUUUGAUUUUCGAAAUAAGGGUGGAGAUCCGAGCGAGACUGAAAAAAAUUUCAAAAAACGAACAAUGUUCGCGGUGGCGCCACCACGCCGGUCGCAGGUCACCACCGCGAACCAUCACCUCCCUCCGGCCAUUUCUUCUCUUUUUCUCUAUUAUUUUGUUUUUUUUUUUUUUUUUUUU
Non-coding RNA from Vicia faba (fava bean), 260 nucleotides. NCBI's taxonomy places the organism in Eukaryota, Viridiplantae, Streptophyta, Magnoliopsida, Fabales, Fabaceae. The record is from the annotation of a GenBank genome assembly.